CCUAUGGGUGGCUGCAGUGAGGAAUAUUGGUCAAUGGGCGCGAGCCUGCACCAGCCAAGUAGCGUGAAGGCUGACUGCCCUACGGGUUGUAAACUUCUUUUAUAAAGGAAUAAAGUGAGGCACGUGUGCCUUUUUGUAUGUACUUUAUGAAUAAGGAUCUGCUAACUCCGUGCCAGCAGCCGCGGUAAUACGGAGGAUCCGAGCGUUAUCCGGAUUUAUUGGGUUUAAGGGGAGCGUAGAUGGGUUGUUAAGUCAGUUGUGAAAGUUUGCGGCUCAACCGUAAAAUUGCAAUUGAUACUGGCAGUCUUGAGUACAGUUGAGGUAGGCGGAAUUCGUGGUGUAGCGGUGAAAUGCUUAGAUAUCACGAAGAACUCCGAUUGCGAAGGCAGCUUACUAAACUGCCACUGACAUUGAUGCUCGAAAGUGUGGGUAUCAAACAGGAUUAGAUACCCUGUAGUC
This 459-nucleotide ribosomal RNA is filed under the name uncultured bacterium. RNAcentral's name for it is "partial 16S ribosomal RNA". It matches the Rfam family "Bacterial small subunit ribosomal RNA", at positions 338 to 795 of the family's 1533-position model. The record is from RNAcentral.